CUAGAACUAAGUUUGGUCAAACUUUGCCACAAAGUCAAAAGCAAAUGCAGUUCUUGGGUUCCUGAAAUUUAAAAGUUUCAUGGCAGAUGGUGAUGUCCCAUGGUGUGAAGAAGAAACUUUUGAUGAUAAGAAAUUGAGCGCAUCAUCCGACUUACAGAGAGAAUGGGAAAGGAGGCACGGUCAUUUUCAUACUAUAUGGGAUAAUGGCAGGAAAAGAAGCCUCAGCACAAGACGGUUUUAAUGCUGGCUUUAAGCAAUCUGUGCUUGUGGGGUACAAUUGGGGACUUGUGAGAGGAAUUACAAGCACUCUAGCUUGUCUUCCUGAUGACUGAAGAGAAACUAUGGUUGGGACAUUGGAGAAGAGAAAUAGACUUCAAGAGUUAUAUGAGAAUGUGAAGUCCAUAUCAACUAAAGAUGCCCUGAAAUUAUUCCAUAAUGUUUUUGUCAACACUGAAUCAGAGAACUGUGCUACAAAUUUGGAGGAGAAAAUGCAAGCAAUGUCUCUCUUGACUGAUGUCUUUGGUUCAAACAAGCUCGAGGACUUUUCCCAAAAAUUGGACACCAUUCUUCGUGAGUCACCCAUUCCUGAAGUGAACACAUUACUGAACUCAAAAGUGGCUUAAUAAGCCUUCUUAAAAAUUGAUGGCUUUCUAAUGCGAAUAACUGGGUCUCCAUUACUUUGUUGUAUUAUAUUAUGUUGUUCAUUCCAUUUAUGAACUUCAGUUGUUACAGAGUACUGGUUCAAUGUAAUUUAUGAUUAUUUUAAGGGCUUCUUUGUAUUUGUGAGUCUUUUUAUGGAAGUCAUGAAUUAUGUCUGUAUUCUCUUAUAGAUUUGACUGCACUAUGCAUAAGAAUUGUUCUAUUCA
Non-coding RNA from Amborella trichopoda, 866 nucleotides. NCBI's taxonomy places the organism in Eukaryota, Viridiplantae, Streptophyta, Magnoliopsida, Amborellales, Amborellaceae. The record is from RefSeq and is a predicted model, not a curated record.